CAGCCGCCGCGGUAAUACGUAGGGUGCGAGCGUUAAUCGGAAUUACUGGGCGUAAAGCGUGCGCAGGCGGUUUUGUAAGACAGGCGUGAAAUCCCCGGGCUCAACCUGGGAAUGGCGCUUGUGACUGCAAAGCUAGAGUGCGGCAGAGGGGGAUGGAAUUCCGCGUGUAGCGGUGAAAUGCGUAGAUAUGCGGAGGAACACCGAUGGCGAAGGCAAUCCCCUGGGCCUGCACUGACGCUCAUGCACGAAAGCGUGGGGAGCAAACAGGAUUAGAUACCCCUGUAGUCCCUGUCUCUUAUAC
Molecule: ribosomal RNA, 301 nt
Filed under: uncultured bacterium
Lineage: Bacteria
Description: partial 16S ribosomal RNA
Rfam family: Bacterial small subunit ribosomal RNA
Source: RNAcentral